RNAcentral lists this ribosomal RNA (405 nucleotides) under Hemus magalae. Its description in RNAcentral is "partial 16S ribosomal RNA". The record is from RNAcentral. Lineage: Eukaryota; Metazoa; Arthropoda; Malacostraca; Decapoda; Mithracidae.
CAUAAUCAUUAGUUUUUUAAUUGGGAACUUGUAUGAAUGGUUAAACAAAAGAAAUACUGUCUUUUUCUUAUGAUUUGAAAUUAACUUUUAAGUGAAAAGGCUUAAAUUUUUUAAGGGGACGAUAAGACCCUAUAAAGCUUUAUAAAUAAUUAUUAAUAUUUUAAAAUUUUUAAAAUAAAAUAAAAUUUUAUAUUAUUUAUUUUGUUGGGGUAACACAAACAAAAUUUUAAAUAACUGUUAGAUAAAAAACCAUUUAUAAUUGAAAAAAUGAUCCUUAGUAAAGAUUGAAAAAACAAGUUACUUUAGGGAUAACAGCGUCAUUCUUUUUAAGAGUUCUUAUUGAAAAAAGAGUUUGCGACCUCGAUGUUGAAUCAUAAAAUCUAAGUAGUGCAGCAGUUACUGGAA